GCCCGGUGCAGUGGCGUGUGCCUGUAGUCCCAGCUACUCAGGAGGCUGAGGCUGGAGGAUCACUUGAGCCCAGGAGUUCCGGGCUGUAGUGCGCUAUGCCGAUCAGGUGUCCACACUAAGUUCAGCAUUAAUAUGGUGACCUCCCUGGAGCGGGGGACCACCAGGUUGCCUAAGGAGGGGUGAACUGGCCCAGGUUGGAAACCGAGCAGGUCAAAACUCCUGUGCUGAUCGGUAGUGGGAUUGCACCUGUGAAUAGCCACUGCACUCCUUCCUGGGCAACAUAGCGAGACCCCAUCUCU
RNAcentral lists this signal recognition particle RNA (299 nucleotides) under Aotus nancymaae (Ma's night monkey). RNAcentral's name for it is "Metazoan signal recognition particle RNA (ENSANAG00000012372.1)". It matches the Rfam family "Metazoan signal recognition particle RNA". From Rfam's summary of the family: The signal recognition particle (SRP) is a universally conserved ribonucleoprotein. It is involved in the co-translational targeting of proteins to membranes. Lineage: Eukaryota; Metazoa; Chordata; Mammalia; Primates; Aotidae. The record is from RNAcentral.